Chinchilla lanigera (long-tailed chinchilla) is the source of this 989-nucleotide RNA transcript. RefSeq lists it as uncharacterized. The record is from RefSeq and is a predicted model, not a curated record. The transcript is spliced from 3 exons. NCBI's taxonomy places the organism in Eukaryota, Metazoa, Chordata, Mammalia, Rodentia, Chinchillidae.
CGGCCAGUGAGCUUCCUUCCCUGCGGGCGCCGACAACACAUCUGGGAAUGUGCUCCCAGACAGACAUCUGUGGGAAGCUCAGGCUCUUGAAGUUUCUUUUGAUGGGAGCUCUGACCUGGCCUUGGCACGGGGACCUCGCACGGGAACAGACGGAGCAAGCGUCUGCCCGCCUGGCCUGCCCUCGUCCACGGUGCGCUGUUUUCCUUUGCUGCUUAUGGACUUGUAUUCUCUGCCCAGGACGGAGCAGAGCUUCUCUCUGCAGCCACCAAAUCAAGACCCAAGCAGAGAUGGUGCUGGCACGGGGCGGAGCGACACGGAUUUAAACUCAGGGGGAGGACAACGGAGACCACAAACAACACUCCGACCUCAGCCGGCGACAGUGACGCAACCCCAACCUGGACACACGGAGGUGGGGGGAAAAGAGGGGGAGGUGCACCAUGGCCACUGCGCACGGUGGCAGUGCGGUGACAGCACAGAGCUGGCCCCAAACCACCAGCUAGGAAGGGAGUCGGGAGUUGAGGCCGGUGCGGCUGCUCCCAAGGCCUUAUCCUUCCCACCUCUGGAACAGGCACCAUCAGGACCUGGCCUGGAGGAAUCUGCACCAGCACAUCUUCCCAGCCGAGUGGCAGGCUUGCCAGGUGAGGGUGUGCAGUUCAGCGGGAUUCUCCAGGGAUGACAUGUGGCAAAGAGCUGAGGGCCAAGCAGGGGACAAGGAAUUUCCAGCCAAUUAGUGGCCGAGCGAAGCCAGAGGAGAACUGGCCCCACAUCCCACUUGCUCUCUGACAGCAAAUCCUCGCAGCCAGGCAUGUCUGGAUCACUUGAACUCGGGCCAAGAGCUCGGAAGCAGCAGGGGGCGGGGUAGGCACGAAGAGCCCAGGAAGAGACCUCUUGGCUUCACCUUAGAAAACACUGGUGUUUACACACACGGAGCUGCCUGUCCGAAGCUGUUUAGUUUUACAUUAAAAUGGUCAGCAUUUUUUUCCUGGUAA